Molecule: ribosomal RNA, 492 nt
Filed under: uncultured bacterium
Lineage: Bacteria
Description: partial 16S ribosomal RNA
Rfam family: Bacterial small subunit ribosomal RNA
Source: RNAcentral
AGUGAACGCUGGCGGUAGGCCUAACACAUGCAAGUCGAACGGCAGCACAGUAAGAGCUUGCUCUUACGGGUGGCGAGUGGCGGACGGGUGAGGAAUAUAACGGAAUCUACAUUUUCGUGGGGGAUAACGAAGGGAAACUUACGCUAAUACCGCAUACGACCCACGGGUGAAAGCAGGGGAUCUUCGGACCUUGCGCGAAUGAAUGAGCCGAUGUCGGAGUAGCUAGUUGGCGGGGUAAAGGCCCACCAAGGGGCCGAUACGUAGCUGGUCUGAGAGGAUGGUCAGCCACACUGGAGGUGAGACACGGUCAUGGGUACUAAGGGAGGCAGCAGAGUGGAAUGGUGGGCAGUGGGCGGGAGUCUGAUCCAGCGAUACCACGUGUGUGAAGAAGGCGCUCGGGUUGUGAAGCCCUUUUUUUGGGAGAGAACAGCUGCAGCUUGAUACCCAGCUGUUCUGACGGUACUCAGAGAAUAAGCACCGGCUAACUUCGUG